UACGGGGGGGGCAAGCGUUGUUCGGAAUUACUGGGCGUAAAGGGCUCGUAGGCGGCCAACUAAGUCGGAUGUGAAAUCCCCAGGCUCAACCUGGGAACUGCAUCCGAUACUGGAUGGCUUGAAUUCGGGAGAGGGAUGCAGAAUUCCAGGUGUAGCGGUGAAAUGCGUAGAUAUCUGGAGGAAUACCGGUGGCGAAGGCGGCAUCCUGGACCGACAUUGACGCUGAUGAGUGAAAGCUAGGGGAGCAAACGGG
Molecule: ribosomal RNA, 253 nt
Filed under: uncultured bacterium
Lineage: Bacteria
Description: partial 16S ribosomal RNA
Rfam family: Bacterial small subunit ribosomal RNA
Source: RNAcentral